UACGGGGGGGGCAGCGUUCUUCGGAAUUAUUGGGCGUAAAGAGCUCGUAGGCGGCCUGUCGCGUCGGAUGUGAAAGCCCGGGGCUUAACCCCGGGUCUGCAUUCGAUACGGGCAGGCUAGAGUGUGGUAGGGGAGAUCGGAAUUCCUGGUGUAGCGGUGAAAUGCGCAGAUAUCAGGAGGAACACCGGUGGCGAAGGCGGAUCUCUGGGCCAUUACUGACGCUGAGGAGCGAAAGCGUGGGGAGCGAACAGG
Molecule: ribosomal RNA, 252 nt
Filed under: uncultured bacterium
Lineage: Bacteria
Description: partial 16S ribosomal RNA
Rfam family: Bacterial small subunit ribosomal RNA
Source: RNAcentral